Molecule: transfer RNA, 72 nt
Filed under: Solirubrobacter phytolaccae
Lineage: Bacteria; Bacillati; Actinomycetota; Thermoleophilia; Solirubrobacterales; Solirubrobacteraceae
Description: tRNA-Gln
Rfam family: tRNA
About the family: Transfer RNA (tRNA) molecules are approximately 80 nucleotides in length. Their secondary structure includes four short double-helical elements and three loops (D, anti-codon, and T loops).
Source: RNAcentral
UGCCGGGUGGUGUAAUUGGCAACACACCAGUCUCUGGAUCUGGUAUUUGGGGUUCGAGUCCCUGCCCGGCAG